This 72-nucleotide transfer RNA is filed under the name Camelus bactrianus (Bactrian camel). It matches the Rfam family "tRNA". Rfam says of the family: Transfer RNA (tRNA) molecules are approximately 80 nucleotides in length. The record is from Rfam by way of RNAcentral. Lineage: Eukaryota; Metazoa; Chordata; Mammalia; Artiodactyla; Camelidae. RNAcentral also lists the same sequence under 2 other names.
GAGGGUAUAGCUCAGUGGUAGAGUGCAUGCCUAGCAUGCAUGAGGUCCUGGGUUCGAUCCCCAGUACCUCCA